GGUAGAGUUUGAUCCUGGCUCAGAAUGAACGCUGGCGGCGUGCUUUACACAUGCAAGUUGAGCGAGGCCGGGGAGCAAUCCCCGAGUCGAGCGGCGAACGGGUGAGUAACGCGUGGAUGACCUGCCCUUUAGUGGGGAAUAACCCGGGGAAACUCGGGCUAAUACCGCAUAAGACCGAGAGGUGAAAGCGGGGUCGCAAGAUCUCGUGCUAAUGGAGGGGUCCGCGUUCGAUUAGCUAGUUGGUAGGGUAAUGGCCUACCAAGGCGACGAUCGAUGGCCGGCCUGAGAGGGUGAUCGGCCACACUGGAACUGAGACACGGUCCAGACUCCUACGGGAGGCAGCAGUGGGGAAUUUUGCGCAAUGGGCUAACGCCUGACGCAGCAACGCCGCGUGGAGGAUGAAGGUCUUUGGAUUGUAAACUCCUGUCAGCAGGGAAAAAGGGAUAGGGCCUAUACUUCCUAAACUUGAUUGUACCUGCAGAGGAAGCCCCGGCUAACUCUGUGCCAGCAGCCGCGGUAAUACAGAGGGGGCAAGCGUUAUUCGGAAUUAUUGGGCGUAAAGGGCGCGUAGGCGGCUUUUCAAGUGACUGGUGAAAUCCCUCGGCUUAACCGAGGAACUGCCUGUCAGACUGGAAGGCUUGAGACCGGGAGAGGUGAGUGGAAUUCCCAGUGUAGCGGUGAAAUGCGUAGAUAUUGGGAGGAACACCAGUGGCGAAGGCGGCUCACUGGACCGGAACUGACGCUGAGGCGCGAAAGCGUGGGGAGCAAACAGGAUUAGAUACCCUGGUAGUCCACGCCCUAAACGAUGUCAACUAGUUGUCGGGGAAGUAAUUCCUUGGUAACGAAGCUAACGCGUGAAGUUGACCGCCUGGGGAGUACGGCCGCAAGGUUAAAACUCAAAGGAAUUGACGGGGACCCGCACAAGCGGUGGAUUAUGUGGAUUAAUUCGAUGCAACGCGAAAAACCUUACCUACCCUUGACAUGUGCGGAAAGGGGUAGAGAUACCCUGGUGCCCGAAAGGGAACCGCAACACAGGUGCUGCAUGGCUGUCGUCAGCUCGUGUCGUGAGAUGUUGGGUUAAGUCCCGCAACGAACGCAACCCUUGCCAUUAGUUGCCACAUUCAGUUGGGCACUCUAAUGGGACUGCCGGUGACAAACCGGAGGAAGGUGGGGACGACGUCAAGUCCUCAUGGCCCUUAUGGGUAGGGCUUCACACGUAAUACAAUGGCCGGUACAGAGGGCUGCCAACCCGCGAGGGGGAGCAAAUCCCAGAAAGCCGGUCGUAGUCCGGAUUGUUCUCUGCAACUCGAGAGCAUGAAGUCGGAAUCGCUAGUAAUCGCGGAUCAGCAUGUCGCGGUGAAUACGUUCCCGGGUCUUGUACACACCGCCCGUCACACCAUGGGAGUGGGUUUCACCAGAAGUAGUUAGCCUAACCGCAAGGAGGGCAACUACCACGGUGAGAUUCAUGACUGGGGUGAAGUCGUAACAAGGUAACC
This 1496-nucleotide ribosomal RNA is filed under the name uncultured bacterium. Its description in RNAcentral is "bacterial SSU rRNA". It matches the Rfam family "Bacterial small subunit ribosomal RNA". The record is from RNAcentral.